GGCUUCAAUCGACCCGUCUUGAAACACGGAAAAAGAAACUAACAAGGAUUCCCUUAGUAACUGCGAGUGAAGUGGGAAAAGCUCAAAUUUGAAAUCUGGCAGUCUUUUUUUCUCUUCUUUGGCUGUCUGAGUUGUAAUCUAGAGAAGUGCUUACCUGUGCUGGACCAUGUAUAAGUCUCCUGGAAUGGAGCGUCACAGAGGGUGAGAAUCCCGUCUUUGACAUGGACUGCCAGUAUGUUGUGGUGUGCUCUCAAAGAGUCGAGUUGUUUGGGAAUGCAGCUCUAAAUGGGUGGUAAACUCCAUCUAAAGCUAAAUAUUGGCGAGAGACCGAUAGCGAACAAGUACCGUGAGGGAAAGAUGAAAAGGACUUUGGAAAGAGAGUUAAACAGUAUGUGAAAUUGUUGAAAGGGAAACGCUUGAAGUCAGUUAUGUUGGCUGGGGAUCAGCCUGGCUUUUUGCUGGGUGAACUUCCUAGUCUGACAGGCCAACAUCAGUUCUGACUGCUGGAAAAGAGCAGAGGGAAUGUAGCACCUUUGGGUGUGUUWUAGCCUUUUGUCAUAUGUGGCAGUUGGGACUGAGGGAUGCAGCGUGCCAGGAAUGGCUGGGUUUCGACCACAAUUGCGCUUAGGAUGUUGGCUUUUUUUAAUGGCUUCAAUCGACCCGUCUUGAAACACGGAGUCAUA
RNAcentral lists this ribosomal RNA (683 nucleotides) under Amanita arenicola. RNAcentral describes it as "eukaryotic LSU rRNA". It matches the Rfam family "Eukaryotic large subunit ribosomal RNA", at positions 1 to 671 of the family's 3401-position model. Lineage: Eukaryota; Fungi; Basidiomycota; Agaricomycetes; Agaricales; Amanitaceae. The record is from RNAcentral.